UGGGGGAUAUUGUACAAUGGGCGAAAGCCUGAUGCAGCGACGCCGCGUGGGGGAUGAAGGCCUUCGGGUUGUAAACUUCUUUUGCUCUGAACAAGGCGCACCAUGGGGUGUGUUGAGUGUAGGGGUUGAUUAGCGCCGGCUAACUACGUGCCAGCAGCCGCGGUAAUACGUAGGGCGCGAGCGUUGUCCGGAAUUAUUGGGCGUAAAGGGCUUGUAGGUGGCUGGUUGCGUCUGUCGUGAAAGCUCAUGGCUUAACUGUGGGUUUGCGGUGGGUACGGGCUGGCUUGAGUGCAGUAGGGGAUGCUGGAAUUCCUGGUGUAGCGGUGGAAUGCGCAGAUAUCAGGAGGAAUACCGAUGGCGAAGGCGGGUCUCUGGGCUGUUACUGACACUGAGGAGCGAAAGCAUGGGGAGCGAACAGG
This 419-nucleotide ribosomal RNA is filed under the name bacterium. Its description in RNAcentral is "partial 16S ribosomal RNA". It matches the Rfam family "Bacterial small subunit ribosomal RNA", at positions 355 to 776 of the family's 1533-position model. The record is from RNAcentral.